RNAcentral lists this long non-coding RNA (333 nucleotides) under Ananas comosus (pineapple). Its description in RNAcentral is "long non-coding RNA (ACOM_LNC025347)". The record is from RNAcentral. Lineage: Eukaryota; Viridiplantae; Streptophyta; Magnoliopsida; Poales; Bromeliaceae.
AUAAUAUAUAUAUAUAUAGAGAGAGAGAGAGAGAGAGAGAGAGAGAGAGAGAGAGAGAGAGAGAGAGAGUUGAGCUAGAAUACUAUUGAUAGCAAACGGGCUCCAUUGCCACCCAUUUGUUUUCGAUGAUGGAGCCUUCAAAUCGACGAUCGGAAUCGUUGAACAUGAUCUAUACUAUUUAAAGUGUUUAAAAAUCAAAUUUCAUACAUUUUCGAUAUUGCUCUCUUAUCCAUCGAGUGGACACAAAAAUGAACGGCUGAAAAUAAAUAUUUUUUAAAAAAUAAUGAUAGGAGUCUUAUAAUUAAGAUCAAGAGUAUAGAUCUUAUUUUAAAU